RNAcentral lists this ribosomal RNA (395 nucleotides) under uncultured bacterium. Its description in RNAcentral is "bacterial SSU rRNA". It matches the Rfam family "Bacterial small subunit ribosomal RNA", at positions 30 to 429 of the family's 1533-position model. The record is from RNAcentral.
AUUGAACGCUGGCGGCAUGCUUUACACAUGCAAGUCGAACGGCAGCGGACCUUCGGGUGCCGGCGAGUGGCGAACGGGUGAGUAAUAUAUCGGAACGUACCUUUCAGUGGGGGAUAACGUAGCGAAAGUUACGCUAAUACCGCAUAUUCUGUGAGCAGGAAAGCAGGGGAUCGCAAGACCUUGCGCUGAUUGAGCGGCCGAUAUCAGAUUAGCUAGUUGGUGAGGUAAAGGCUCACCAAGGCGACGAUCUGUAGCGGGUCUGAGAGGAUGAUCCGCCACACUGGAACUGAGACACGGUCCAGACUCCUACGGGAGGCAGCAGUGGGGAAUUUUGGACAAUGGGCGCAAGCCUGAUCCAGCCAUGCCGCGUGAGUGAAGAAGGCCUCGGUUGUAAG